Molecule: ribosomal RNA, 458 nt
Filed under: uncultured bacterium
Lineage: Bacteria
Description: partial 16S ribosomal RNA
Rfam family: Bacterial small subunit ribosomal RNA
Source: RNAcentral
CCUACGGGCGGCAGCAGUGAGGAAUAUUGGUCAAUGGGCGAGAGCCUGAACCAGCCAAGUCGCGUGAGGGAGUACUGCCCUAUGGGUUGUAAACCUCUUUUGUCGGGGAGCAAAAGCCGGACGUGUCCGGCUGUGAGAGUACCCGAAGAAAAAGCAUCGUCUAACUCCGUGCCAGCAGCCGCGGUAAUACGGAGGAUGCGAGCGUUAUCCGGAUUUAUUGGGUUUAAAGGGUGCGCAGGCGGAUUGUUAAGUCAGCGGUAAAAUCGUGGGGCUCAACCCCAUCCAGCCGUUGAAACUGGUGAUCUAGAGUGUGCGAGAGGUAUGCGGAAUGCGUGGUGUAGCGGUGAAAUGCAUAGAUAUCACGCAGAACCCCGAUUGCGAAGGCAGCAUACCGGUGCACAACUGACGCUCAGGCACGAAAGCGUGGGUAUCGAACAGGAUUAGAUACCCCUGUAGUC